Molecule: ribosomal RNA, 253 nt
Filed under: uncultured bacterium
Lineage: Bacteria
Description: partial 16S ribosomal RNA
Rfam family: Bacterial small subunit ribosomal RNA
Source: RNAcentral
UACAGAGGUGGCAAGCGUUGUUCGGAAUUACUGGGCGUAAAGGGCGCGUAGGCGGCCCGUCAAGUCCCGUGUGAAAGCCCCCGGCUCAACCGGGGAACUGCGUCCGAUACUGGAUGGCUUGAGGUUGGGAGAGGGAUGCGGAAUUCCAGGUGUAGCGGUGAAAUGCGUAGAUAUCAUGAGGAAUACCAGAGGCGAAGGCGGCUACCUGGACAAUUGCUGACGCUCAGGCACGAAAGCGUGGGGAGCAAAAGGG